This 1146-nucleotide ribosomal RNA is filed under the name uncultured organism. RNAcentral describes it as "bacterial SSU rRNA". It matches the Rfam family "Bacterial small subunit ribosomal RNA", at positions 171 to 1295 of the family's 1533-position model. The record is from RNAcentral.
GCAUGUGUCCCCGGAAUCGCAUGGUUCCGGGAAGAAAGGUGGCCUCUCCUUGGAAGCUAUCGCUUAAGGAUGGUCCCGCGUCCCAUUAGCUUGUUGGUGGGGUAAUGGCCUACCAAGGCGACGAUGGGUAGCCGGCCUGAGAGGGUGUCCGGCCACACUGGGACUGAGAUACGGCCCAGACUCCUACGGGAGGCAGCAGUCGAGAAGCUUCGGCAAUGGGCGAAAGCCUGACCGAGCGACGCCGCGUGAGCGAUGAAGGUCCUAUGGAUUGUAAAGCUCUGUCAGAUUGGGAAGAAAACUUCGCGAUUAAUACCCGCGAAGCUUGACGGUACCAUCAGAGGAAGCACCGGCUAACCCCGUGCCAGCAGCCGCGGUAAUACGGAGGGUGCGAGCGUUGUUCGGAUUCACUGGGUAUAAAGGGUGCGUAGGCGGCCUCGUAAGUCAGGGGUGAAAUAUGACGGCUCAACCGUCAAACUGCCCCUGAAACUGCAAGGCUUGAGUCCGGGAGAGGAAGGUGGAAUUCCUGGUGUAGCGGUGAAAUGCGUAAAUAUCAGGAGGAACACCGGUGGCGAAGGCGGCCUUCUGGUCCGGUACUGACGCUGAGGCACGAAAGCUAGGGGAGCGAACAGGAUUAGAUACCCUGGUAGUCCUAGCCGUAAACGAUGGGCACUAGGUGUCGGAGGAGUCUACCCCUUCGGUGCCGCAGCUAAUGCAUUAAGUGCCCCACCUGGGGAGUACGAUCGCAAGGUUGAAACUCAAAGGAAUUGACGGGGGCCCGCACAAGCGGUGGAGCAUGUGGUUUAAUUCGAUGCAACGCGAAGAACCUUACCUGGGCUUGACAUGCAGGGGACAGGUGCAGAAAUGUACCCUUCUUCGGACCCCUGUGCAGGUGCUGCAUGGCUGUCGUCAGCUCGUGUCGUGAAAUGUUGGGUUAAGUCCCGCAACGAGCGCAACCCCUGUCUUCAGUUGCCAUCAGUUCGGCUGGGGACUCUGGAGAGACUGCCGGUGACAAACCGGAGGAAGCUGGGGACGACGUCAAGUCAUCAUGGCCCUUACGCCCAGGGCUACACACGUGCUACAAUGGUCGGUACAAUGGGCAGCAAUACCGUGAGGUGGAGCGAAUCCCAAAAAGCCGGCCUCAGUUCG